RNAcentral lists this ribosomal RNA (484 nucleotides) under uncultured bacterium. Its description in RNAcentral is "partial 16S ribosomal RNA". It matches the Rfam family "Bacterial small subunit ribosomal RNA", at positions 30 to 507 of the family's 1533-position model. The record is from RNAcentral.
AUUGAACGCUGGCGGCAGGCCUAACACAUGCAAGUCGAGCGGAUGAAGGGAGCUUGCUCCUGGAUUCAGCGGCGGACGGGUGAGUAAUGCCUAGGAAUCUGCCUGGUAGUGGGGGAUAACGUCCGGAAACGGGCGCUAAUACCGCAUACGUCCUGAGGGAGAAAGUGGGGGAUCUUCGGACCUCACGCUAUCAGAUGAGCCUAGGUCGGAUUAGCUAGUUGGUGAGGUAAAGGCCUACCAAGGCGACGAUCCGUAACUGGUCUGAGAGGAUGAUCAGUCACACUGGAACUGAGACACGGUCCAGACUCCUACGGGAGGCAGCAGUGGGGAAUAUUGGACAAUGGGCGAAAGCCUGAUCCAGCCAUGCCGCGUGUGUGAAGAAGGUCUUCGGAUUGUAAAGCACUUUAAGUUGGGAGGAAGGGAAGUAAGUUAAUACCUUGCUGUUUUGACGUUACCAACAGAAUAAGCACCGGCUAACUUCGUG